This 401-nucleotide ribosomal RNA is filed under the name uncultured bacterium. RNAcentral describes it as "bacterial SSU rRNA". It matches the Rfam family "Bacterial small subunit ribosomal RNA", at positions 355 to 773 of the family's 1533-position model. The record is from RNAcentral.
UUGGGAAUCUUGGACAAUGGGGGAAACCCUGAUCCAGCCAUGCCGCGUGAGUGAUGAAGGCCUUCGGGUUGUAAAACUCUUUCGACGGGGACGAUAAUGACGGUACCCGUAGAAGAAGCUCCGGCUAACUUCGUGCCAGCAGCCGCGGUAAUACGAAGGGGGCUAGCGUUGUUCGGAAUUACUGGGCGUAAAGCGCGCGCAGGCGGCUGGUCAAGUCCGACGUGAAAUCUCCCGGCUUAACUGGGAAAUUGCAUCGGAAACUGAUCGGCUUGAAGGUGGGAGAGGGUAGCGGAAUUCCCGGUGUAGUGGUGAAAUGCGUAGAUAUCGGGAGGAACACCAGUGGCGAAGGCGGCUACCUGGCCCAUUCUUGACGCUGAGGCGCGAAAGCUAGGGGAGCAAAC